AUGGCAGGAGCGACUUCUUCCAAUGGAGGGGGGAGUACUAGUUCAGGUAGAAGGAAGGGGAAGACUCCGAUCGACCUGGAAGCGGCGAUGAGGAACAUGAAGCUGAAGGAGACGGAGCUGGAUGACGUGAUCGUUGGCGAUGAGGAAAUUGCAGAACUGUUCAAGGAGUCCCGGUGGCUAGCGGUAGCACGGGUGAACACGACGAAGUACUUCAGUGCCGAGUCCUUCAAGAACACAAUGAUUUUCGCAUGGAGACUUGCCCACGAGCCAGAUAUCCGCGAGGCAGAUAACAAUCUGUUCAUCGUCCAACUUUUCUGCUUAGGUGAUUGGAACAGAGUUAUGCACCAGGGCCCUUGGAUCUAUAGGGGACUUAUGGUGGCAAUUAAAGAGUAUGAUGGCAAAGGUAAACCAGAUCUAGUUCAGCUCGACCGAGUCCAUGUGUGGGCGCAGAUUCAUGAUACCCCGGAGCUCUACAGGAAGGAGAUAAUUUUAGACCAACUGGCUCGUCGCAUAGGUCAGGUGAAGAGCGUGGAGAUGAACCCUAACCGAGUCUUUGAAGGCAACUAUGUUAGGGUCCGGGCGAAGAUUAAACUAGCUGAUCCUUUGGUGCGGUUUGCCCCAAUGAACAUCAAAGGGGAAGGGCGAAUUCUCUUGCCAGUAAGAUAUGAGAAGAUGGGCUUCUUCUGUGAAGUCUGUGGCGUCCUAGGCCAUUCCAUGGAAGAGUGCGGCGAUGGGGUUCACAGCCCCGAGGAGGUUGAAUACGGGGAGUGGAUGAAAGCAACCAGGAGAGCCAUGCCGGAUAACCAGAACCGUGACCCGAGCUGGAACAGGGGGAAUUCCACACGAGGACGUGGACGUGCCCGUGGUGGCGGCUGCGGAAGAAACAAUGGAGCCAAGAAACGAUCAUCGGAGGACGCCGGUCUAGGUGAGGAAAUUGACAAAGAUGGUGAUGAUGAUCUCAAAGAUACGGCUAAGAGCCCUCUCAAGGAAAAGGGCGUUGAUGUUGGGACUGUCCGGCCACAGACCACGGUUAGUCGCAAGUUGAACAUGGAUGAGCAGGCUGAUGAGAGCAUCAGAGGUGGCUCGCUUGAUGCAUCUGUGCAAGGGGCCAGUGUUGUCCCUCCUCCUCCACCACCUUAUGUUACCCCAAGGGAUAGAAAGAAGCAAAAGCAAGGUAGUUCCCCAAACAAAAGCAAUAUGGACAGCGUGGCGGGCUCCUCUGAGGAGCGCCGCCGGGUCCAAUGA
This 1245-nucleotide ribosomal RNA is filed under the name Triticum aestivum (bread wheat). Its description in RNAcentral is "partial small subunit ribosomal RNA". Lineage: Eukaryota; Viridiplantae; Streptophyta; Magnoliopsida; Poales; Poaceae. The record is from RNAcentral.